AGCAGCCGCGGUAAUUCCAGCUCCAAUAGCGUAUAUUAAAGUUGUUGCAGUUAAAAAGCUCGUAGUUGAAUUUCGGGAUCAAAGAAUCGGUCAUGCCUUGGUAUGUACUGGUUUUAUUGGUUCUCACCUUCUAAAGAACCAUGAUGUCAUUCAUUUGAUGUUAUGGGGAAUUAGGACUGUUACCUUAAAAAAUUAGAGUGUUUAAAGCAAGCUUACGCUUGAAUACAUUAGCAUGGAAUAAUGAAAUAGGACAUCAGAUUCUAUUUUGUUGGUUUCUAGGAUCGAUGUAAUGAUUAAUAGGGAUAGUUGGGGGCAUUAGUAUUCAAUUGUCAGAGGUGAAAUUCUUGGAUUUAUUGAAGACUAACUACUGCGAAAGCAUUUGCCAAGGAUGUUUUCAUUAAUCAAGAACGAAAGUUAGGGGAUCGAAGACGAUCAGAUACCGUCGUAGUCUUAACCAUAAACUAUGCCGACUAGGGAUCGGAUGAUGUUAAUUUUUUAAUGACUCAUUCGGCGCCUUACG
Molecule: unclassified non-coding RNA, 520 nt
Filed under: uncultured Glomus
Lineage: Eukaryota; Fungi; Glomeromycota; Glomeromycetes; Glomerales; Glomeraceae
Description: SSU rRNA
Rfam family: Eukaryotic small subunit ribosomal RNA
Source: RNAcentral